Molecule: long non-coding RNA, 2704 nt
Filed under: Homo sapiens (human)
Lineage: Eukaryota; Metazoa; Chordata; Mammalia; Primates; Hominidae
Description: HSALNT0041306
Source: RNAcentral
AGGAAAUCAAAAUUUCUGAGUAGGGCCGGAGAACCUUUCUCUCUCUCUCCCCUUCACACACACACACACACACAAUUAUAUAUAUGUUAUAUAUGUAUAUGGAUACGUAUCUGAUAUAUAUAACAUAUAUAUUGGAGACAGGGUCUCACUCUGAGGCCCAGGCUGGAGUGCAGUGGCACAAACAUGGCUUACCACAGCCUCAACCUCCUGGGCUCAAGCAAUCCUCCUGCCUCAGUCUCCCCAAGUAGCUGGGACCACAGGUACUGGCCACCUCUCUUGGUUAAUUUUUUUUUUUUUUGUAGAGAUGGGAUCUCUCCAUGUUGCCCAAGCUAGUCUCAAAUAUCUCGGCUCAAGGAAUCUUCCCAUGCUGGUCUCACAAAGUGCUGAAUUUACAGGCAUUAAGCUACCAAGCCCAGCCUGAGAAUCUGUAUAUUUAAACACAAUAGUAAUAGAAUGUUCUAAGAGAGAAAGUGUCCUCCUUCUUGGUGGCAUUCUGUUCAGUGACAUGACUUCUGAAGAGAUGCAAGGUAGGCAGUCUCAGCUCUGAACAGGAGGGGGUCUCAGCUUCAUAUAACCUCUGUCCACCUGUAACUCAAGCAGUUCAGUCAUCAUGGAAGACUGUAAGAGCCUAGACAUGAGGAUAGUAACAAUGGCCAGGAUGGACUAACCAUAGGGAUCUUUCAUUCAUCUUAUAAUAUUAGAUAAGCCUCAUAGUCUUAUCAUCCCUUCCGAGGUAGGGGAAGGAGUCUGAUUAUUACAUAGGCUGGUUCCCAGCUCUUCCAACAAUGUGGGAGCUGAUGAUGUGAUUUAAUUUGCUUCAUUUCAUUUCUGCCUAUUUAUGUUCCAUAAUUUAUUUAUUUAAUGUAUAAAUGCUUUAUUAUGUCUUUGAACCACAUCAACAAAUUUAUUCUGACCUAUUUUCAGGCUAUUCUCUAAAAUAAUUUUUAUUCGGGUGAAUUACUGUUUCUGAAUUAUACUACCAAGUCUUCUGUUCCUUGGCUGUCCUUUGAGAAAUUAGACUUCUUCAUGUGUUUUUGAACUUUGGUUUGCAGGCUCAUUUUGAGCAUCCCCUUCAAACUUUUCCCUCCCUAAGAAUUUAGUGGUUUUCUUUACCUAGCCCAGCCCUUUCACUCCUAAACCAGAAUCAGGUUUACAAUCCAGCUUGGGAUGUACUGCCCCUAGGGGACAUUGUGGAGUAUAGCAGAUCCAUUACCGAGUCUGCAUGGUGCUGGCUCGGUUCCUGGGAGUCACACUUCGUCUUCGCCCUUUGUCUCUUCAGGUUUGCAGCUUCAUCUGAAGCCAUAGUCAUAAUAGAGCAGCGAGCGUUGUUUGCCUCUGGCAUCACAUAGGAAGCCUGGCUCUGCUCCAGGUCUCACUCACAUUUAAAACUCCUUUUCCCAUAGGGACCAAACCCUCAGUCACUAGUGUCUACUUCCAGAGCUCAGACAACCCACGAUUUAUGGUUUUCUUUUGUUUCUGGUCCACGGAGAUGUUUAUCUUGUACCAGAGCCUAGUUAGAUCUUCCCGCUUUUUUUUUCUUUUUAAAAAAUAUUUCAUCUGUCAUUGCUUUUUGUUCACAGAAGGUGAAUUCACUGCAUUUUGAUCAUUAUAAAAGUCUGAAUUAAUUCAUUUGAAAAUGGUAAAUAAAUGACAUUUCUUUCAAGCACAAGUCUCUGGAGUGAGAUCCACAUCCUCUACAACAACAUAAGAAAUCCUUGUGGAAGACACCUCUGAUUAACUCCUAUUUAUUCCUCCACUUGACAGAGCCUGAGCAUCGAUAUCUUCUAUUAAUAUUUGUGCCCACAGAGUGCUAAACAUGGAGUAAUUCUAAACUGCAGUUACUUUUGCACCAACCUAAUACAACUUGUAAUGAAGAUUGUUUUUCAUAUCUGGUUCCAACUGUCUGUUGGUGGUGGCUUUGAGCAGCAGUGUACAAAGAAACAAGCUGAGCUCAGAAGAAACAAGUGCAUGAGUGGAUCACCCUGUCUAUUAUGGACACAAGUGGAGAGUAGUGAGAGGUUCAACUUUAUACUUAAGUCUCAAAAUGUCUAUCUCUAUUGUCUCUAUUGGACUUCGGACCUGCACAUUCAACUACCCACUGGGUAAUCUUAUCUGGAUGUCCCAACUACCUCAAUCUGUACAUGCCUAAAAUUAAAAUAAAAGUGGGUUAACUGAUCCAUCAAAUUGGCAUCAUGAUCCCUAUUAGCAUUGUGUUCCAGGCAGCCAUUACCACAUUUCAGAUUAGUACUCAAUUCAAAAUAAACCCUCUUUGCCAUCUGACUAAGGAAACUUGCUCUGAUGGUGGAAUUAUAGGCAUCAGCAAUGGGGGUAAGGGAAAAAGUUGAUGGGAUGGUGGAAACGCAGUGUCUUAAAAUCUUACCCAUUUCACCUUUCCUGGCCCUGAGUACAGAAAUAAGAUCACAGGGAAAAAUUCAAACUAUGCUUGCUCUCAAGUGGAGUGAUAGAAACUAGAAAAAAUGAAGGUAAUAAAACUUUUAGACUUUCUUUACAAUAUCCUAUUUAGCUUAUAUAUAUCUGCCCAUCUCCCUUAACUUCCUCUCCUUAGCCCCCAAUAUUUUUAUUGUCAGAUGGUCAUUAGGACAAAAGCUUAUUUAUCUGAAGAAUUAUAGUGUCAGUCCCAUGUAGGAUGGUCUAUGUGUUUACGCAAAAGUGCUCCGUGACACAAACAAGACACUUACGCCCC